This 412-nucleotide ribosomal RNA is filed under the name uncultured eukaryote. Its description in RNAcentral is "SSU rRNA". It matches the Rfam family "Eukaryotic small subunit ribosomal RNA", at positions 592 to 1018 of the family's 1831-position model. The record is from RNAcentral.
CAAUAGCGUAUAUUAAAGUUGUUGCAGUUAAAAAGCUCGUAGUUGGAUUUGUGGCGGUUGUUGCGGUCCAUUUUUGGUACUGCGGCGACUGCCAUCCUUGAGUGGAACCUGUGUGGCAUUAGGUUGUCGUGCAGGGGAUGCUCAUCGUUUACUGUGAAAAAUUAGCGCGUUCAAAGCAAGCUUAUGCUGUUGAAUAGAUUAGCAUGGAAUAAUGAGAUAGGACCUUGGUACUAUUUUGUUGGUUUGCGCACCGAGGUAAUGAUUAACAGGGACAGUUGGGGGUAUUCGUAUUCCAUUGUCAGAGGUGAAAUUCUUGGAUUUCUGGAAGACGAACUACUGCGAAAGCAUUUACCAAGGAUGUUUUCAUUAAUCAAGAACGAAAGUUAGGGGAUCGAAGACGAUUAGAUACCAU